Molecule: ribosomal RNA, 392 nt
Filed under: uncultured bacterium
Lineage: Bacteria
Description: partial 16S ribosomal RNA
Rfam family: Bacterial small subunit ribosomal RNA
Source: RNAcentral
AUACGGAGGAUCCGAGCGUUAUCCGGAUUUAUUGGGUUUAAAGGGUGCGCAGGCGGCCAUUUAAGUCAGCGGUUAAAUCGUGGGGCUCAACCCCAUUCUGCCGUUGAUACUGGGUGGCUUGAUUGCGGUCGAGGUUGGCGGAAUUCGUUGUGUAGCGGGGAAAUGCGUAGAUAUGCCACAGAACGCCGAUAGCGGAGGCAGCUCGCCAGGCCUGCAUUGACGCUCGGGCACGAAAGCGUGGGGAUCGAACAGGAUUAGAUACCCUGGUAGUCCACGCCGUAAACGAUGGGCGCUCGUCGUCGGCGGCAGACAGUCGGCGGCCAAGCGAAAGCGAUAAGCGCCCCACCUGGGGAGUACGGUCGCAAGGCUGAAACUCAAAUGAAUUGACGGGG